Molecule: ribosomal RNA, 234 nt
Filed under: Chloropicon mariensis
Lineage: Eukaryota; Viridiplantae; Chlorophyta; Chloropicophyceae; Chloropicales; Chloropicaceae
Description: partial Bacterial large subunit ribosomal RNA
Rfam family: Bacterial large subunit ribosomal RNA
Source: RNAcentral
ACCGAUAGGACUAGGGGGAGUCACAUCCUACCAACUUCUGACGAACUCCGAAUGCCCGAUUAUUGCAGUGGGAGUGAGGGGUCGGGUGCUAAGGUCCGACUCCGAGAGGGGAACAACCCAGACCACCGGCUAAAGUCCCCAAGUGGGUGCUCAGUUGACCAAAGGAGGUUCGGUUGCCGAGACAGCCAGGAGGUUAGCUUGGAAGCAGCUAUUCCUUUAAAGAGUGCGUAACAG